RNA transcript from Homalodisca vitripennis (glassy-winged sharpshooter), 10659 nucleotides. It is a transcript of the gene named longitudinals lacking protein, isoforms A/B/D/L-like, with no coding region annotated. NCBI's taxonomy places the organism in Eukaryota, Metazoa, Arthropoda, Insecta, Hemiptera, Cicadellidae. The record is from RefSeq and is a predicted model, not a curated record. The transcript is spliced from 2 exons.
AUCACCACAUUGAAAACACACAAACCAAUACUUAUAACUUUUUAUUUAUGAGGCCUUUUGAUAGCAAGGCUAUCUUCUUCAGACACAUCACAACAGUCCUUUUGUAUAAGUAUUGGUUUGUGUGUUUUCAAUGCGGUGAUUGAACAAGAAAAGCCAAUAAAAGUUCCAUCUUCAACAUUACAUGAACAUGAUUUUACUAUCAGUAAAUAGAAAACAUAUAAAUCUUAUUAGGCAUGUGCUGUAUGAUUCUACAAUUACGUACAGAUAAUGUCAUAGUAUAAAAUUAUUUCAAGCUUUAAAAACUGUCAUUAAAUAAUCUUCAGUCCAAAAGUUUCUAUUCUUCCCCUAAAAUUAUAAUUAUUUUAAAGUAGACUUAAAAAUUAUUAGUAAUAAAAAAUAUAUCACUUUUUAACACUUUGGCUUACAUACAUUUUGGUAUACAGUACUUACUCUUUUAAGAAGUCUUUCAAAUUAUAAGUGUAUAAGUGUGCAUUUUGUGUAACUUAUUUUGUAGCUCUAAUUAAUGUAUAUUAGUUUAAAAGUUGGUAUUUUUAUAUCUUCUUAGGGUGAAGCAAAUAUAACUGGACUUUCAAGUUUAUGGCCAGUAUUCUGGCAGUGGAGCAGCAAUGGGUAGGAUGGAUAUUAUAGGGGGUGAAGUUAUAUCUUUGUGUUGUUUUUGCUCUCCAUUACUAUUGUGUAUGAAACAGAGGAGCCUAGGAGCCUAGAGCCGAUUUGCAUUGUACAAGCAUACAACCUGUCUUUUGUUUCUAAGAAAGAUAUUGGUUGUUUUCUGCAUUAGUUUUUCACACAAUACGAUUAAAUUAUCACAAUCAUUAUGUAGCACUUUGUAUUGUAUAUUUGUCAAUUUGUAUUAAGAAGUUUUAAUUACCUAGGCUACAUGCAUUUUAACAAUGUUUCAUAUAUUGUUAGUUCAGCUACCCAAAAAUUGAAGAACAUUAACAAAUAAAUAAUAAGUGUUAUUGGUUUUAAAACAAGUUUUUUUGUACAGAAUAUUGAAAAUAAAAUGUAUUAUAAAUGGACAAUAAUAAAAAUCCAAUCUGUAUUAUGUUGUAUAAAAGUAGUAAAAGUGAGUUAUAACAGAAGAAACAAAGUAUGCCUACAGCAGGAUCUAUAAAAUGACAUUUCCUGAGAGGAUGUCCUGUUGGAUUUCAAAAUUAACCCUCCUCUCCUCAUGAGAUGGUGUGGGGGAAACUCAAAAAUCUUUAAUGGGUUGGCCCAUUAGGUAAUAUUUCAAAUUGAAAGCGUUGAGGAGGCAGAAAAAAUUAUACCAAGAAAAGUAAUUUCAGACUAUUCUAUAAAAUAAUCACCAAUAUGUUUCUAAGAAAUCUACAUGGAGACCUUUAAAUUUCACCAUUUAAAGGAUCCUUAAAUUGAAUUUUCACACUAUGGGGUUAUUGUUAAAAAUCCUUUACUUACCUCCAGUGAUCUAGGACUAGAAGUGGUGGAACUGUGACCUCCUGGGGGUAUGGAGGACAUGGAAUAUUCCCUAGAGGAAAGGUCCAUGCAAGUUUUGAAAGUAUGGAGCCUCAAAAUAGCGUUUGAUGUAUCUCUGAGAUGCAGGGAAAAGUUUCCCGUGGAAACAAACCCUUAUUGUUAGGGACGGGUAAAAUCUGUUAACAGUAACCUCAUUGGUAAGGAAAAUUGUGUUGCAAGUAGCGGAUUGCUUCUAUCACCUCUAUAUAUAAUACUCAGGAAUAGCUACCUCUUCACUCAAUGAUCAGCUGAGAAAAUAAAAGCUCUGUUUAUAUAGGCCUCACUCUUGUCUAUUUUGUAUGAUUUAUAUUAUUUUUGUUGGUUCCAUAAAAGAAAAUGUUUGUCUUUUUAUUUAAUUGUGUGAAUAUAACAAAUUUUGAGUACCUGAUUGUUUUGUUGCCUGUGCUUAGUUUUACUGGUUUCAAACUGAGAUUUACACAAUUAUUGAACCAAAAGUGCACAGUUUAAUUUUAAUUUCAAGGGCCACGUAAUUGUUACCUAGUUGUUCAAAUUAAAUAUUAGUUUUGUAGUUAUACUAUAAUAAUAGAUACUGUUACGAUUUGUAAUAUAAUGUAUUUAGUUGUAAGAUGUUGAAUUUUAAUGUUUACAGUUAAUUAUUUCUUUCAUAACUUUUUGACCAGUUACUCAUAAAUGUUACAUACAUUUUUUAAAUACCAGGGUAAAAUUUGUUGAAAAAAUCUAUAUCUUAGUUUUCAUACUCAUUUACUGAAUGUACAAUUUAUAUUGGCUUAUCAAGAAAUAAAUUGUUUUUCGCAAAGUGAGAUGAUUUUGUAAACCUUCUGAGUAUUAGUUGUAAUAGCUAUAGCAGUAUUGUAAUUUGAUAACUUAAUUCUUAAUAUCUCCACAACCAUUUAGAUUAGAUUAAAGGAGGGAUAAGGACGCCCUGGUCCCUAGUGUUUAGGUGCCUUUACAUCUUAGACUUUCUGCCCAACACUUGGCUGAGAGAUUCCAAACAGGGUUGUUCUAAGUGAAGCCUUUCAAACUCCAAAUAAUGUAUUUGACAGUCUCCUGUCUUGAGAUGAGCAAGUAUUUCUUGAAACAACUGUGUCCAGCAGUGAGAGAAAUUACUUGUUUCUAAAAGCAUUUACUCGGCUUCAUCAACCAGGUCAUGAACUGACUGUUUAGCAUCAGAUAAAAUGGAUAAAACCUUGAAUUGAAUUCUUUUUUAGGGGCCAUAAGAUUAUUCUGGCUUUCAGAUAUAAUCACUAUGCGUCAGGUAGAAUCACUAUGCAUCAGAUGUAUGUAUUUGUGUAUGUGUAUUUUAGUAUAUGUACUUUAAAAAUUUACCAUAAAAUCUAGUGUCUAAUAGUAAAUGAACCAAUUACUACAAUAGAAAUACACUAAUACUACUAAACAACUUAUAACAUGAUUUUUGUGGAUAAAAGUUAAAAACUUAUGUUAUAAAUAAGAAUAAGCUCAGGCGAAUCACAAGAUUAUUUUUUACUUUUAGUGUCUUACUUGUCAUAUUUUACAGACCUUUAGUUUAAAGUUUCCUGUAGUGGUUAUGCAUAGUUGUAGCUUUUUUGUUGAGUUCUUUCCUUUUAAUAGCAAACAUUAGAUUCUCACAUUCAGUGGGAUGGAUCCUCUGUUAUAAAUAAAUUUCGUUACUACAUAAUGAAGUUUAAAUCAGUGAUGGAUAGUUUUGUAGCUAUCCACAUUUAUUAAUGUGAGCUAAUUUUUUGUCAUCCCCCAAUUAACAGGAGAGUAUUUGAGAGGGAAAUGAUGUGAUUAUAAUGUACGACAAAAUCUUGACACAGUUCCUAUAAGGUGUGCAGGUGUACUUUCAAGUUCACACACAUCACUAUGUAUGUAUUCAUUAUGUAGUAUCUCUGUAUUUGUUGGUCAUCUGUUUGUCCAUGUUUACAGCCAGUAACCCACGGUUAGCUGGUCUACCUUAGAUUGACUAUCAAGUAACUAGCUCAUUGUGUUCCAGCAGAACAUUGUUAAAUCACAUAAUAAUAUUAAGUCAGCUAUCCUGUUAUUAUAAUUAAAUAAGCGCAUUUAUUUUCUGUUAAUAGAAAAUUUUAGUUUGAGAUACUAGUGUAAGAAGUUGUUUCUGAGAGCAGACAAUUCAGAUGCAAGGUAGGUUUCAACAUGUACUUCUAUAAUAUGUUAUUUCACAAUGUCAUCAGCUUAAAUAUGAACUUUCUUGACUGUGUUCAAGUAGUAUAAGACAUAAGAUUUAUUAGUUGAUAUUAAGAUUAUUUGCCGUUGAUCAUAUAUACAAUGAAAUAGGUAUUGUCAAUACACUUUUAGUAUAAAACAUACUAAUAUAGAAACAAACCAUCAUUGAAAACCACAAAACAGAUUUAAGAGACUCAAAAACAUUUACCUUACAGUUGUAAAAUAAACAUAUAGUUUAAAAUUAAAACCCAGUGAUUUAAAACUGAAUAUUGACAUCCAUAUUUAAAAACUCGUCAAUUGAAUAAAAUGGAUUAUUUAAAAGCCACAAAUAAAAUUUUCUUUUAAAAUGAGUUAUGGGAGUAACAUGAGCAAUUUCUGGAAGCUUGUUAAAAAAUCUUACACAAUUUACCAUAUGGGAUGUUCCAAAUUUGGUCAGUCGAUGUUGAGGAAUGUCAAGCUUAUUUUUAUUUCUGGUGUUGUAUGUAUGAAAUUUAUUUCUAAUGAAAAAGUUUCUGAGGUUUGCUUUAGUGUAUAAUAUAAUAUGGUAAAUGUAGAGAUUAACUAUGGUAGGUAUUUGUAAUUGCAUAAAUAGGCAUUUUCAAUGAUCUAAUGGUGCAGCAUGACAAAUGUACAAAUAUCAAGCCGUAAGCAAUAUGUGGUUGGAAUAAUUCAAAAUAUGCUGUUCUAAGGUACUCGGUAGAUAUUAUAGAUCUUAAUUUCCAAAACAGAAAAGCAACUCCCGAAAGUAUUUUGUUUAAUCCGUUAACAUGGUCGUACCAACUCAAUUUCUUGUCAAUACAAAUUCCCAGUAAUUUGACAAAUUGGUGAUCGUUUUGAGAAAGGCUAAGUAAUAUGUUUUGCGUUUUACUUUCAUUGCAGAGAAGUUUAUUAGUUGUGAACAAUUUCUGAGUAUUACUAUGAGCUGCAGCCAUUGAGCCUUUAACCUUUCCAGAUUAUUAUGACAGAAGAACAGAGUUGAAUCGUCAGCAUAGAUGACAGAAUUCACACCAACAUCUUUUGAUAAAUCACUAAUUAUCACAAGGAAAAAGAAGGGUCCAAGGACAGAACCUUGAGGAACGCCAGAGGAAACAUCUAUUAAUGAUGAUUGUGUCCAUCUUAAACUUACAUACUGUCUGUAGUACUGUACUCAUUAGGGUUUUAUUUCUAGUCUUCUUAAAAAUAAACAAAAAAUUCUUCUAUAUUCUACUAUAUGUAGAAUAUAGAAGAAUUCUUCUAAAAUUCUACUAUUUAUGUAAUCCUUUAAAACUUAAAAUCUCUAUGUAAUACUUUUUUAAAUAUUAUAGACCCAACAGGGCAUUCUUGAAGUCAUGUCAUCCAUUUGCAUGUAUGAUAGUUUUUUAUAUAAAUCUCAUUACAUUUUUUUACUAUUGCAAAAAUAAAAUAUUUAUCUUCAGAAAUUCUUUAGUUGAGAUAUAUAUUAAAAGCCAGUCAAGUCAAUGAUUGAAUUUGAUAAGGUGUAAAGAUUUCUAAUCCUAUUGCAUUUUUCCAGGGCUUUCAUGGACUGUUGAGUUAAAUAUUGCUAAAGAGAAAAAAGCAGAAAAAGAGGAGGGUUUACCUGUCAUAGUUGCAGAACAUAGAAUACGUGCAUCACCUCGGCUGCACAAAGAGGAGGAGGAGAAGUUUGACUUUUUUGGUGAAUCUGACAAUAUUAUCCCACCAAUCAUACCACUGACAGUCCUGGCGCUGCAGCACAGCCAUAAAUGUUACCGCUGUGGGAAGAAAUACUCAACCAAAGGCACUUUGAACAGACAUCUUCGCUUCGAGUGUGGCCAGAAGCCGAAGUUCUUCUGCCCGCUGUGUAGGCGGCCCUUCACACGCAAUGAUACACUCACACAGCACCUGAAGGUGAUGCAUCCACGGUCUCACUUGGGUCAACCUUGAUGUGGAUCCUCACUCAACCAAAGUUCCUACGUCUAGUCAUUCGAAUCAACUUGUAUCUCGUAUUGUGAUUGUUACCGUUGAGCCGUUCAGUAUUGUACAGUAAAUGUUGUUUUAUAUUUUGUUCUUUUUUCAAUCCCUCCUGAACCCGACAGUAAAAGAAGUUUCUGUUGCAGUUGAGAAGACGAAAAUGAUAGUGAGUAUGUUUUUAUUUCUAUCAAUAGAAUACGGAUACCUUAUUUCUAUCAAUAGAGUACGGAUACCUAGUAUAAUUCUUUUUUAUCAUUGGUUAAGUUAAUUAAAAUAAUUUUAGUGUAUUUAGUGGCGAUGCACAACAGUUUUAGUACUAUGAAUUAUAUUAAAUGUUUGUCAUAGAGCAAAGUAACAAAACAUAUCAUCAGUAUUUUGCAAUAACUAUUUUUUUAUUGGUGUAGAAAAUAUAUACUAUAUAUGUCAGCUGUGUUAGGGUGAAGGACGUGUUGUAACCAGUUUGUUUGUAGUCAAAGUAAAUUGAAGUCGAGUGCUGCAUCAAAUAUACCCACUAUUGUGUUUGUUGUGGUAAUUUAAUUUUGUUAGCUUGUUAGCCAUUUUGUUGUAGCCAUUUCCUUUACGUUGAUGUAUUAUUUAAAUUUAACACUCAAAAUUUCAACCAGCAUAUAUAUGACCUAGAAGAACUAAAGUGGCAAAAUUAACAGGGGAUUUGGUGUAGUUGAUUUCAUGUGCUACAAGAAGACUUUGGUUAGCUGAAGUUUGUCAACCAAAGUCGUUAUCAUAGCUAUUUAGGUAAUUCAACAUUGUUAAUGGAAGAAACAAUAAAAAAUACGGAAUAAAAAUUAUUUAAACAUAAAAGUUCCAAAUACUUAAAGAAUAAAGAUGAUUUUAUAAAUAAAUUUCUCCUGUUGGAAGUAGUAUUUAAAGGCAGUUAAAUUAGUAUAAUCUUCCCAACACUCUUGACAUGUAUCUAGUAUUUAAACUCAGUUGAAUCUCUUCCAGAAAUUUCAGAUGUUAGUAAUUAGAGUAUGGACGGUUUCAAAAAUGUAAAAAAAUGUAAUGUGGCGAAAUUACGUUAUCAAUAUUAAUAACGCUUAAGGAGAAAGGAUUUAGUUAAGAGAAAAAAGAUGUGAGAUCUAGUUGGCACUGUAACUGUCCGGAUGUUACAGGUGAGCAGAUAACAGUGGCGGUGGCAGUGACGUGGCAGUGUCCAAAUUGUCCCAAGUCCUAUAAGAGCCAGUCGAGUCUGCACAGACACGUAAGGUUGGAGUGCAACAAGGAACCCACACUGGCGUGUCCCAACUGUCCGAUGAUGUUCGUCUACAAUAGCAGCCUUAACAAGCAUUGGCGGCGGAAACAUGCUUUACACCACUAGAGUUGCCGUUUAACGCUGAUAACAAGACAGAUUAGAGACCGCUGACCGCAGAGUCAGGGCCAGGUGGCGAUGUGUGCAAUAAGUGAUAUACCGGUUCUGGUUUUGUAAAUAUAUUUGUGAGGCUAGUGUGGUUCAUGUUAUCUUGGAUGCAUCGAGAUUAAUAAUUGUUUAUUACAUCUUGAAGAUAAUUAAUUUCUUAAUGACUCUAAGUUAUUAGUUAGGGAUGUUAAAGUAACAUCUUAGUACAUUGGAUGGAAAACUGUUGAAACAUAAGAUGAUAGACGCGAAAUUUACAAGGAACUCUGGACCAGACAGUGGAGGUACAAAAUGAUGGACUGCUUAGUAAAGAUGCCAGAGUUAAGAAAUUGAGUUUGAGAUGUUACAAGUGAAUGUUACAAGUUGAGGGCUGUGAAUGUGAAUGUGAAAAGAAAGUGCAGCUGUUAAUGAUUAAAGGCGUGAGACAAUAAAAAGCCACUUCAUGUCCUCGAGUGAUCAUGACCUAGCAGGCGAUCAUACACUGUCACCGAACAAGGAAGGCAACUGUAACGGACUGGCCACAGUGUUCAAGUACAGCUGUCCAGACUGCGGAAAAGCGUACAAGUGGAGACACAAUAUGCUGCAACACUGGAAGCGUGACUGUGGGAAACCUCCAAACUUUCUGUGUCCGUACUGUGACUACGGGAGUAAGCAGAAGAACAACCUCGCCAGGCACGUCCUCUCCAGGCAUAAGGAGCACUAUGUGUCCUUCUUUGAGGAUUUCCACAGGAAAAAUACCCUUGGAAUUUCGGCCGGUCAGGAGAAAGACGUGGUGCCUUCGGUUGGGUCACCUUUAUCCGUUCCGCUCUGAAGGCAGCAUUAGAUGAGUUGUGUAGCAAGAGUAUAUGGUAAAACCUAGAUAGUUUAAAUGCCAAGCUCUUUAUGCUGUACACAGUUUAGAGAUUCGUUGUCAGCCUCCGUCAGUUUUAUUACCAUCAGUUCUAUUACGACUUCAUGUAGUCAGUAUUUAUUUUUCACUGAAACUUUUCGUCUUCUGAGUUAAAAAAAUGUAUACAUUAUUUGUUGUUAUUACUUUUCCAGAGUUGUUGAAGUUUGUAAGAAUUUUUAAAUUAAACCGUAGCAGGUAACAAAUAAUUACGUUACUACCUUUAAACAUUAAACAUUGCAUUAAGGUUAGUCUUCUAUAUAAAGCAACUUAAACACAGUGAUAUUUAUAGGUUACUCAAAAAUGUGUAUGAAGUUCAUUGUGUGGAAGGUACUAUCAUGCAUCUUUUAAAAAUUAAUUCUUCCAGUAUUAUAAUUUGCAAAAUGUUAUCAGUUUUUCCAAGUCCAACAUUGUAAAAUAAUAUGAUAUCAAUUAGAAUAGGGCAAGUAUUAUCAAAAUAAUUGUCAUAUGGUAAUGGUGCUGCAGAUCAAAUGAAAUAACAUCAAUAAAUGCAUUAAUUUACAUCAUUUAAUGUAUUUUUUGGUAAGAAUUUAAAGACAUUUUCAUUUUUAUUAUUAACCAGCACAUAAACACACUUGUAACAAUAACAACUUCAUAUUUUCAUCUGAUAACUAUGGUAUUAAAGACUGUUUCAACUAUAUUUCGCAAUUAAAUAUAUUUUUAUUUAGAAUAUAAUUAAACAUAGGAAGGAGGAAUUGAAAAAUUCCUAUUAGUUCCUAAACUUAUGCUACUACAAGGUUUCACUGUUUAGAUCUUUAUUUAAAAUAAGACUUUUAAAAUGUUUAACAUUUUCCCUAAAGACUAAAUUCAAAUGGAUGUUUUAUUUUUCAAAUAAAAAAAAAAUACUUUGUUAACAGAUUUCAUGUUCUUCCAUAAAUAGAUUUACAUAACAAAUAUAUUGUUAUUACAUUCUGUAUUUUGGUAGUUUUCUUGUGUAAUUUGUGUUUACUUUUAAUCUAAUGAAAGUUGUUUCUCCCACCAAUAAUUGUUUUCAAAAUAAAAGUGAUUACCUUAAAAAAUUGAUAUGAUAGGUUAAAUGAAUUAUGAAUACGGUUUCACAACUCAUGUACUCACAUCUGGCAGUAGGUGAGGCUGGGAGCAAUCAAUAUUCCUCUAACACAUAGCAUAGAUAUUUAUUAGUUUUUUAAAGUAAUAUUUAUGUCAAAAUAAUAAACAUGUUUGUAUAGUAUAAAUUAUUUAUAAUAAGUUAAACCAAUUAACACUAUUUAUGAAAUAAUACUCUCUGUUAACUAGUUGUAAGAAACACCAUCAAUAUACACUAUUUUCGUACAUGAACUUGUCUGUACUUGGAAUCUAGAAAAUCUAAUAAUUUUUUGUAAUUCUCAAUUUGUGUUUUAUAGUUUCUAUACAUUAAACUACUUUUAAAAAGUUUAAAAAUUAGCUAGCAUUGCGUGUCUUUAGUUAUUUUUGCAUUCAUUAACUAAUUAGAAAAUAAAAAUAAUAAAUUAAGAUAAUUCUUAUAACUUUUACAAAAGAUUUGUGUGUAAUCUAUGGAUGAUAUCAAAACCUCCAUAUAUUUACUGCAUACCAAAAAUAAUACAAUAAAUUAAUGUACUACACUGUGUUUUCACUGGAGUUACGAACUAAAAUUGUUGACUUAUCGGCGAUUUUCAAAAGAAUUCUUGGAAACUGAAGCAUCUUCGGGUGGUUGCAGACCAAUGUAACUUGCUGCACCCUUAGAGUGCAACUUGCCUCUCCUUUCAUUCAGCUUAUUGGCUCCACAUAGUGUCUUUCAUGCUCAUAUUGUUGCUAGACAUUAAAAGAAAUCCGUCAGAGGAACUGUAUCAUCUCUGGUUACAUCACUUGAGACAUCACUACCACUGUAACUUGCUUUUGCUUGUAGUGAAUGUCUAACCCACUUCCAUCUCGGUUUCUUGUACACUGGGUGUGUCACCUGACUUCUGGUUCUCAUGCAGACAAAAAUAAAGGGAACAGUGUACCUGCGUUGCAAGCCCAAAUUGUAUACAUCUGAGGGAAUCAAAUUUGGCAAUUUUUUGUUUGCAACUCUGGUGUUAACAUAGGUAGCCAUGUGCAAUAAAAUUACAUAAAUAAGAUGUAUAAUGAAAGUAAGUACAAGUAUUUUGCAUUUUAAAGUCCUUUUUAAAAACAUCAAACAAGACGUAAUUUUAUGUAAUUGGAUGAUCACUGUCUUCUCAUGUACUUUGAGUCUGAGUGAGAGGAAACAUUUGCUCCUACUAGUACAAGUCAUGCUGUACUAACUAUGUCGAUAAACUUACAGUUUAGGUAAGUUAGGACUUUCGAUUUUAUGUAAUUGGAUGAUCACUGUCUUCUCAUGUACUUUGAGUCUGAGUGAGAGGAAACGUUUGCUCCUACUAGUACAAGUCAUGCUGUACUAACUAUGUCGAUAAACUUACAGUUUAGGUAAGUUAGGACUUUCGAUUUUAUGUAAUUGGAUGAUCACUGUCUUCUCAUGUACUUUGAGUCUGAGUGAGAGGAAACGUUUGCUCCUACUAGUACAAGUCAUGCUGUACUAACUAUGUCGAUAAACUUACAGUUUAGGUAAGUUAGGACUUUCGAUUUUAUGUAAUUGGAUGAUCACUGUCUUCUCAUGUACUUUGAGUCUGAGUGAGAGGAAACGUUUGCUCCUACUAGUACAAGUCAUGCUGUACUAACUAUGUCGAUAAACUUACAGUUUAGGUAAGUUAGGACUUUCGAUUUUAUGUAAUUGGAUGAUCACUGUCUUCUCAUGUACUUUGAGUCUGAGUGAGAGGAAACGUUUGCUCCUACUAGUACAAGUCAUGCUGUACUAACUAUGUCGAUAAACUUACAG